ACCGGUGUGGCUCAGUGAGUAGAGCGUUGGCCUGCGGACUCAAGGGUCCCGGGUUCGAUUCCGGUCAAGGGCA
Molecule: transfer RNA, 73 nt
Filed under: Myotis davidii
Lineage: Eukaryota; Metazoa; Chordata; Mammalia; Chiroptera; Vespertilionidae
Rfam family: tRNA
About the family: Transfer RNA (tRNA) molecules are approximately 80 nucleotides in length. Their secondary structure includes four short double-helical elements and three loops (D, anti-codon, and T loops).
Source: Rfam by way of RNAcentral